GCAAUCUACCUUAUACUAAGGGAUAGCCCAGAGAAAUUUGGAUUAAUACCUUAUAGGAUAUCAGAAUGGCAUCAUUUAGAUAUUAAAGAUUUAUUGGUAUAAGAUGAGCAUGCGUCCCAUUAGUUAGUUGGUAAGGUAACGGCUUACCAAGACGAUGAUGGGUAGGGGUCCUGAGAGGGAGAUC
RNAcentral lists this ribosomal RNA (184 nucleotides) under uncultured Bacteroidota bacterium. Its description in RNAcentral is "uncultured Bacteroidetes bacterium partial 16S ribosomal RNA". It matches the Rfam family "Bacterial small subunit ribosomal RNA", at positions 121 to 305 of the family's 1533-position model. The record is from RNAcentral. Lineage: Bacteria; Pseudomonadati; Bacteroidota.